Molecule: ribosomal RNA, 440 nt
Filed under: uncultured bacterium
Lineage: Bacteria
Description: partial 16S ribosomal RNA
Rfam family: Bacterial small subunit ribosomal RNA
Source: RNAcentral
CCUACGGGCGGCAGCAGUAGGGAAUAUUGCUCAAUGGGGGAAACCCUGAAGCAGCAACGCCGCGUGGAGGAUGAAGGUUGUCGGAGUGUAAACGCCUUUUGUUAGAGAAGAGAAUGACGGUAUCUAACGAAUAAGCACCGGCUAACUCCGUGCCAGCAGCCGCGGUAAUACGGAGGGUGCAAGCGUUACUCGGAAUCACUGGGCGUAACGAGCGCGUAGGCGGGAUAGCAAGUCAGAUGUGAAAUCCUAUGGCUUAACCAUAGAACUGCAUUUGAAACUGUUAUUCUAGAGUAUGGGAGAGGUCGGUGGAAUUCUUGGUGUAGGGGUCAAAUCCGUAGAGAUCACGAGGAAUACUCAUUGCGAAGGCGACCUGCUAGAACAUAACUGACGCUGAUGCGCGAAAGCGUGGGGAGCAAACAGGAUUAGAUACCCGGGUAGUC